This 497-nucleotide ribosomal RNA is filed under the name uncultured bacterium. Its description in RNAcentral is "partial 16S ribosomal RNA". It matches the Rfam family "Bacterial small subunit ribosomal RNA", at positions 28 to 507 of the family's 1533-position model. The record is from RNAcentral.
GAUGAACGCUGGCGGCGUGCCUAAUACAUGCAAGUCGAGCGAACGGACGAGAAGCUUGCGUCUCUGAUGUUAGCGGCGGACGGGUGAGUAACACGUGGAUAACCUACCUAUAAGACUGGGAUAACUUCGGGAAACCGGAGCUAAUACCGGAUAAUAUUUUGAACCGCAUGGUGCAAAAGUGAAAGACGGUGUUGCGGUCACUUAUAGAUGGAUCCGCGCUGCAUGAGCUAGUUGGUAAGGUAACGGCUUACCAAGGCAACGAUGCAUAGCCGACCUGAGAGAGUGAUCGGCCACACUGGAACUGGACCACGGUCCAGACUCCUACGGGAGGCAGCAGUAGGGAAUCUUCCGCAAUAGGCGAAAGCCUGACGGAGCAAGGCCGCGUGAGUGAUGACGGUCUUCGGAUCGUAAAACUCUGUUAUUAGGGAAGAACAUAUGUGUAAGUAACUGUGCACAUCUUGACGGUACCUAAUCAGAAAGCCACGGCUAACUACGUG